UCCGAGUUGACCCCGGCAGUCUCCCAUGAGUCCCCGGCAUUAUCCGCUGGCAACAUGGAACGAGGGUUGCGCUCGUUGCGGGACUUAACCCAACAUCUCACGACACGAGCUGACGACAACCAUGCACCACCUGUGCACGGCCCUUACGGACCCCACAUCUCUGCGGGAUUUCCGUGCAUGUCAAGCCUAGGUAAGGUUCUUCGCGUUGCAUCGAAUUAAUCCACAUCAUCCACCGCUUGUGCGGGUCCCCGUCAAUUCCUUUGAGUUUUAAUCUUGCGACCGUACUCCCCAGGCGGUGUGCUUAUCGCGUUGGCUAAGGCGCGCACUCAAUUAAGAGCACACACCGAGCACACAUCGUUUACAGCGUGGACUAC
RNAcentral lists this unclassified non-coding RNA (374 nucleotides) under uncultured bacterium. RNAcentral describes it as "contains 16S-23S intergenic spacer region". The record is from RNAcentral.